AUUCUUGCACAGCUGCAUGGCAAUAAUUUUUAUGUUUGUUAAAAUUACAUUCUUGCUAUUUUGUCAUAACACUCACUCCAGAGUGAAGCCUGGGAAGAAUGACAUGGUCAUAAUAAGAGCAAAUGGAAUAACUCUGACAGUCUCAGGUGCCAUUGUCUGUCCCUCGCGAUUGUCUCGCCAGCAAGAACAACGCAGGACACUCAGAUCCUUCUGCAGUAAAGCUUUAAUGCAUCUUGAGAGAGAGCGCAUAAGCUUACAGAGCGGAGACCCCCGAGCCAAGAAUCCCGUCCCCUAAUAAAGGCUCAUAAAACUCUGAUCGGUGCGUGUACAGCUGGGAUAGGUGGAUGACUCGUCACCCUAUAUGACGCCAUGGAAUAGGCGGGGCUAAGCAGUGGAGAAGCACUGGGCACAUGCAUACCAACGUUGUUUACUUGAUCCGGCAGCAGAUGUCAGCGCCAUCUUGUAAUGGCGAAUGUGAGUGCGGCUCCUCACAAUUGUCACUUUAACCUUCCAUGACACCUGCAUUUCUCCAUCCAUGUUUAGUCUGGGAUAUUCUGAUAUCGAGUUUAAUGGUUCUUCAGUACUCAAAUGUGGUGGGUUUGUUAUCAGUAGGUUCCUCUUUGGUGUCUUGCUGUUUACCUGAGACCUUAAUUCCAGCCCAUCUUCCCCCAUCAGCACACUUCGGCUCUGCUACUGCUCUCUUCUUCAUCUGUGUUCCCCUCUUCCUGAUAGUAACUGAAGGACAAACUCAGUAAGGCAAACUCUCCUGAUGAGAACUCCCCUGGGCUAGCUUACAGAAUCACACUCCUCUGAUUGAUACCAAUUGCAGGAAGUUUGGACCUGGUGCCCUGGGUUUCUCAAGGAACUUUUCAAGAAUCCAAGCUGAG
RNAcentral lists this long non-coding RNA (887 nucleotides) under Cricetulus griseus (Chinese hamster). Its description in RNAcentral is "lncRNA (ENSCGRG00000024144.1)". The record is from RNAcentral. Lineage: Eukaryota; Metazoa; Chordata; Mammalia; Rodentia; Cricetidae.